GAUUAACGCUGGCGGCGUGCAUAACACAUGCAAGUCGAACGAUGAAACUUUAAUGAACCCUUCGGGGAGAAUUAAAGCGGAUUAGUGGCGAACGGGUGAGUAACGCGUGAGUAACCUGCCUUACACAAGGGGAUAGCCUUUGGAAACGAAGAAUAAUACCCUAUAAAACCAUAAAAGCACAUGCAAUUAUGGUCAAAGUGAUAGCGGUGUAAGAUGGACUUGCGUCUGAUUAGCUAGUUGGUGAGAUAAAAGCCCACCAAGGCAACGAUCAGUAGCCGGCUUGGGAGAGUGUACGGCCACAUUGGGACUGAGACACGGCCCAGACUCCUACGGGAGGCAGCAGUGGGGAAUUUUGCACAAUGGGGGAAACCCUGAUGCAGCGACGCCGCGUGAUUUAGAAGGCCUUCGGGUUGUAAAAAUCUUUUGUAUAGGAAGAAAAUGACAGUACUAUACGAAUAAGGUCCGGCUAAUUACGUG
This 477-nucleotide ribosomal RNA is filed under the name uncultured bacterium. RNAcentral's name for it is "partial 16S ribosomal RNA". It matches the Rfam family "Bacterial small subunit ribosomal RNA", at positions 28 to 507 of the family's 1533-position model. The record is from RNAcentral.